Molecule: ribosomal RNA, 406 nt
Filed under: uncultured bacterium
Lineage: Bacteria
Description: partial 16S ribosomal RNA
Rfam family: Bacterial small subunit ribosomal RNA
Source: RNAcentral
AUUGAACGCUGGCGGCAUGCCUAACACAUGCAAGUCGAACGAGUGGCGGACGGGUGAGUAAUGUCUGGGAAACUGCCUGAUGGAGGGGGAUAACUACUGGAAACGGUAGCUAAUACCGCAUACCAUCAGAUGUGCCCAGAUGGGAUUAGCUAGUGGGUGGGGUAAAGGCGCACCAAGGCGACGAUCCCUAGCUGGUCUGAGAGGAUGACCGGCCACACUGGAACUGAGACACGGUCCAGACUCCUACGGGAGGCAGCAGUGGGGAAUCUUGCGCAAUGGGCGAAAGCCUGAUCCAGCCAUGCCGCGUGUAUGAAGAAGGCCUUCGGGUUGUAAAGUACUUUCAGCGGGGAGGCGUUACCCGCAGAAGAAGCACCGGCUAACUCCGUGCCAGCAGCCGCGGUAAUUC